UAUAAUUAGCCAUAAACACUUGCUUGCUUACUUUCAUGUCUACACAGGUUCGUUCGAUGCAAGGAGUUGGCACAGGAGGCGUCCGAGGCUGUGUAGAGCGGCCGUCUGAACCUGGUGCCACAGCUUACUAUGUUCAACAGAUGCCUGAAGGAAGUGUGUGUAAGGGAGGAUAAAGAGAUCAUGCUGGCCUAUGCAGACGAUGUCGCUGUCGUGACAGGAAGCCAACAAGAUCUUCAAGAGGCCAUGACAAGAUGGAAUGAUGUUUUAAAUAGGGAAGGAAUGAGAAUGAACAAACAAAAAACUUAUUUACUAGUGGACAAGCAACAAGUGAUGGUGUGGCUCUGAGCCACUGUAGUAGGGAUGUUAUGGUUUAAGUGUAGGAAGUUGCAAAUGCUCACCUAACAAUUGCACCUUAGUAGAAAAACACAAACAGGAAGUUUAUGCAAGUUUUUAUCCUUAUAUAAAAUGUUGUAUUGCAUCAAACCUCCAUACAUUACUGUCUCUAUCCAGUAUGAGACCGGUGUUCAGGAAGCACAAGCAUGUGCUGAAUAACAAGAAGCCGGCAUUGGUGAAGGUGACAACAUUUCAUCUAUUUAUACAUACUUUUUAUUAUUAAAGCUUAUCUUAUAAUUAUUUCUGAAGAGAUUGACUAAUUUUUGUAGUAUUUAUGACUUAGAACUAUGAUAAAGCUAUGAAUUGAUAUAAUUCCUGAUUUG
This is a long non-coding RNA of Scylla paramamosain (green mud crab), 716 nucleotides long. RefSeq lists it as uncharacterized. Lineage: Eukaryota; Metazoa; Arthropoda; Malacostraca; Decapoda; Portunidae. The transcript has 2 exons. The record is from RefSeq and is a predicted model, not a curated record.